CAAAGGCUUCGGCCGGUAAAGGAUGGGGAUGCGUCUGAUUAGCUUGCCGGCGGGGUAACGGCCCACCGGGGCGACGAUCAGUAGGGGUUCUGAGAGGAAGGUCCCCCACAUUGGAACUGAGACACGGUCCAAACUCCUACGGGAGGCAGCAGUGAGGAAUAUUGGUCAAUGGGCGCGAGCCUGAACCAGCCAAGUAGCGUGCAGGACGACGGCCCUAUGGGUUGUAAACUGCUUUUAUACGGGGAUAAAGUAUGCCACGUGUGGUUUAUUGCAGGUACCGUAUGAAUAAGGACCGGCUAAUUCCGUGCCAGCAGCCGCGGUAAUACGGAAGGUCCGGGCGUUAUCCGGAUUUAUUGGGUUUAAAGGGAGCGUAGGCCGGGUUUUAAGCGUGCCGUGAAAUGUCGGGGCUCAACCUUGACACUGCGGCGCGAACUGGAGUCCUUGAGUGCGCGGAACGUAUGCGGAAUUCGUGGUGUAGCGGUGAAAUGCUUAGAUAUCACGAAGAACCCCGAUUGCGAAGGCAGCAUACGGCAGCGCUAUUGACGCUGAAGCUCGAAGGCGCGGGUAUCGAACAGGAUUAGAUACCCUGGUAGUCCGCGCGGUAAACGAUGGAUGCCCGCUGUUGGCGAUAUAUUGUCA
RNAcentral lists this ribosomal RNA (639 nucleotides) under uncultured bacterium. RNAcentral describes it as "bacterial SSU rRNA". It matches the Rfam family "Bacterial small subunit ribosomal RNA", at positions 202 to 842 of the family's 1533-position model. The record is from RNAcentral.